CACGCUGUAAACGAUGACGACUGGGUGUUGCAGGUAUUGACCCCUGCGGUGCCGAAGCCAACGCGUUAAGUCGUCCGCCUGGGAAGUACGGCCGCAAGGCUAAAACUCAAAGGAAUUGACGGGGGCCCGCACAAGCGGUGGAGCAUGUGGUUUAAUUCGACGCAACGCGAAGAACCUUACCCGGGCUCGAAAAUGCACGAAGUCGCCUGAAAGGGGGAUGUGCCCGCAAGGGAGCGUGUAUCAGGUGC
This 248-nucleotide ribosomal RNA is filed under the name uncultured bacterium. RNAcentral's name for it is "partial 16S ribosomal RNA". It matches the Rfam family "Bacterial small subunit ribosomal RNA", at positions 796 to 1041 of the family's 1533-position model. The record is from RNAcentral.